This 36-nucleotide ribosomal RNA is filed under the name Pithecellobium diversifolium. Its description in RNAcentral is "partial 18S ribosomal RNA". Lineage: Eukaryota; Viridiplantae; Streptophyta; Magnoliopsida; Fabales; Fabaceae. The record is from RNAcentral.
CAAAGAUUAAGCCAUGCAUGUGACUACGGGCAGAUC